AUGAAGUGGGUCUGGCCCUUUGCCUGCCUCACCUUCUUUUAUGCAGAAGUCACAUCAAAUAUCCAGGUAGAGCAACCAAACCAAACCUUAACUGUAUAUGUUGGAAGGGCCAUCACCUUACAAUGCACCCUGAAAGGAGGAGACAUGAAAAGCCAUCAUAUGACCUGGUACAAGAAAAACUGGGAUAACUCCUUGACUUUUGUAUAUCAAGACAAGGACAAAUAUGGUCCUGGUUUCCAGAGAAAUUUCUUAGGGAACAUAGAUUCUGACAACAAUUUCUUCACACUUAAAAUUUUCAAGGCGACAGUAAAGGACGCUGGGACUUAUUACUGUGGUUCAGUUAUCCACGGUUGCUCCUGGGACACCCGAGCAAUGUAUUUUGGAACUGGUACUGAGCUAUCAGUAGAGCCAGAAUCCCAAGAGCCUUCUACGCCCUCAGUCUUUGUCAUGAAAAAUGGGACCAAUGUUGCAUGUCUGGUGAAAGACUUCUACCCCAAGUCCGUGGAUAUACAACUCUACCCAGACAACAGUGCCACAGAAGGAGUGGUCACCACUACCAAUGGGAAGUACAGCGCUGUCAAGCUUGGUCAAUAUAAAAAAGAUUUGGAGCAAAUUAAGUGUACAGUUCAGCACAACAAUAUGACCGUGGAGGCUUCUUACAAAAGUUCCCAUGAGGAUUCCACUGACAAGAGUUCAGACCCAGAGGAUCCCAUUGACCAGCUGUCAUCUUUCCAAAAGUGCCACAAACCCUCAGUGCAAAUUGAAAAAGUGAACUUGCUGUCCAUCACCCUGCUGGGGCUCCGUGUGCUGCUCGCCAAGAGCAUUGCUGUCAACAUUUUCUUGACUAUCAAGUGUUUUUUACACUAAGGCUUGUCUACGCCACAAGGAAUAAAGUAACCAAGAACCCACUGAGAUGUUUUCCCUUGACUCCCCCUUGCUGGGAUGCAAAUGUUGCUGACUAUUUUGACUGGCAGAUCUUUUUCAUAAUUGCUUUUGCUUUGGAAAAAUUAGAACCAACUCUUUUCAAAGCCAGGUGGAAAGCUAGCCCUGGAGGAUUCUGAUUCUAUGUACCGAUGUGUUUCUGUAACUUUGAAAAGGGACGUGGAAUUGUUUCACCACUUUGGCCACCAGAUUUAAACACUUGAAUAGUGUUCCCGCACCCUUCUGAUUUCUGCUACCUCCAGAAUUUGAACCAAGGGGAGAGAGGAGAAGCUUUAGGUUUGUCCCGAACCCCACACCCACUCUUCCCAAUGUGCCCAUCUUCUCUGUGCUUGUCUUGGUAGCCCCAAAAGAGAUAGUGUCAGAAAUUCCCUUUUUUCUAGAACCCUGGACCUAGAAAAGACCCCAGAGUUCAUCUCAACCAACCCUCAUUUGCAGCAUGAAUUAAACAUCGUUGGCAAAUGACUGUUUAGCCUCUACAGAAAGAAAUAUAGUGAUGAGGAAUUCAUUACCCCAUAAGGCAGCCCAUUAGAGGCAGCAUGGAACAGUGGAGGGCGAGCAGGGUUUUAGAGCACUGGAGACAGGAUCAGGAAGAGCUGGGU
Molecule: non-coding RNA, 1541 nt
Organism: Trichosurus vulpecula (common brushtail)
Lineage: Eukaryota; Metazoa; Chordata; Mammalia; Diprotodontia; Phalangeridae
Source: the annotation of a RefSeq genome assembly